RNAcentral lists this ribosomal RNA (138 nucleotides) under uncultured eukaryote. RNAcentral describes it as "partial 18S ribosomal RNA". It matches the Rfam family "Eukaryotic small subunit ribosomal RNA", at positions 1299 to 1458 of the family's 1831-position model. The record is from RNAcentral.
UGGUGGGUUGCCUUGUCAGGUUGAUUCCGGUAACGAACGAGACCUCAGCCUGCUAAAUAGUCAGCAUCGCCCUGGCGGUGCGCGGACUUCUUAGAGGGACUAUUGGCGUUUAGCCAAUGGAAGUAUGAGGCGAUAACA